GAUGAUAGAGCGAAAAGCCAGAGCUCUUUGUUAAAGACAUUGCAUUUCUCCGCGACAGACCAGGGCGAGAGAGAAAAUGAGAGAUUCACGUUCGUUAAGGGAUAAAGGGCAUGGCUAUAUGUUUAUACAUCCAUCCGUCUCCAAUUCACCAUUGUCAAGACAGACUCUCUUGCUCGCAGGAUAUCCCACACACGCUCCGUCAAG
This is a long non-coding RNA of Oncorhynchus masou masou (cherry salmon), 204 nucleotides long. RefSeq lists it as uncharacterized. The record is from RefSeq and is a predicted model, not a curated record. NCBI's taxonomy places the organism in Eukaryota, Metazoa, Chordata, Actinopteri, Salmoniformes, Salmonidae. The transcript is spliced from 3 exons.